AAAUUGUGUGUGAUUGAAAAAAAAUGUCGUGGAGAAGAUAAAUAAUGAAUUUUAUGUGCAUGUACUUUCUGCAAGGGUAAAAUUAAUUAAAAUCAAACAUAAGUCUUGAUAUUACACCUUUCCAUUUCUAAGUUACUUUCAUUUUCUUGAGGUUCAAAUAUUUUGAAAAAAUGUGGUGUCUAUAAGUAUCCGAUUUAAGUGAUUAAAUCCUAGUCAGCUCCGUUAAAUGCCGAUUUUUUAAAUCAAAUUCACCGUGAAAUUGUGAAAUACUUCGAAACUGUGGAAUCGUUCGAAGAAAAAAGCAAGUUGAGUUUGUAAGAAUCUUGAAUUUAUAGCGUUAUCAUAGUGGCCUUUAAUAACUUGUACAACCGUUGAGUUCAUUGACUUCAUUUAAUAUACUAUACACUCGCAUACCGAAGCAACAGGUGUAAUAGUACGGGGGAGAAACCAACAUAUUCAUAACGAAGUAGAAAAUAUCAUUCAAAAAAUUCCAUAAGAGUAAAAUUCUUAUCAAGUUUUAGCCGUCAAAGACAAACCAUCAUUUACAAAAUAAUUUUGAUACUCUUUGUCUAUUACAUAUCCGGUGUAAAAGAUAUAUCAUGUAUUAUCUUCAAUCAGUGAAGUGAUUUUACGCGUCAUAGAUAGGAGUGACAACUAAAACUACAUAAAAGAUGCAUGUUAUUUGGCUUACUCUUGUUUUGAAUAGAAAAGCAAAAACUGGUAACAAAUUGAAUUACAUGAUACGAAUAAAGCGGGGCAUUGGCCGCUUGUAAAUUGUGCAAUAACAAUACUUACGCUUUAUGAACAAGUUUUGGGUUUAUUGAACCAUUGUACGAACGAGAUGGAGAUUCCUUGGAUGCAUCAACAAAAUGAGAAACGGAAUGAUAAUGCCUUUGUUGAAAGUCUUCAAUUUUGAUUGAAUUUAUGUCAACAAUACCAUCUUCGAACAUGUAGAAUUGAUUGAAUUAAGGGAACAAAUAGUGAAUUAACCCAGAUUUUGAAGAAAUUACAUAUGAAUAUUACAAUUAUUACAUACGAGGGAGUCGUGCACUUGAAUACAUGAAUAAUGUACACUUAUAGCGGCUAUUUAAAAUUAAAUAAACAUUUAAUGGAGCUAUGUGAAUAUUCAAAUCCAAAAAUCGAAAGAGAAUCAUCCGUCUUUCAGAAUAUACAAUACAUAAAAAAUGAUAAAUAUAUAUUUCGUUUCAUAAUUUGGUAUUAUGUGGUAUUCGGCGUGAAAGACGACCACAGAUAUUCAGAAUAAUUUCGAUGAAACCACAAUUUCCAAUCAACAUAGUUUAUUCUUCUCGCAAAAAACGCGAGUCAAUGGGAAAAUCUGUUGAACAAAAUCAUAUCAGUUUCCUUUGCAUAGCAAAACGCAAUCAUAACAAUCGAAAAAUAUAUGAAAACCAACGAAGUGAUUUUGCAGCUUUACUGAAUAAGUCAUUUCAUUUAUUUGGAAAACCCAUAUUGGAAAUAAUCACAAUGUCGUUAACUUUAGUUUGUUUAUAUAUUAUAAUUGGGUUGUGCUUUUUAUUAUUCAUAAAUUACAAAUUUUUAAAACGUUUUAUCACUUCACCAAAUCACGAAAAGUUUGCACAUGAUACAAUAAAACGUAACAACGAAAAAAUUGCAAACAAUAAUACGCACUUCAACAAUAAUAACGCCGAUGAAAACUAUAGUCCACCACAUGUGACUUCAGAUGUCUGGUCGAUACCAGGUCCAAAAAGAAUACCUUUUUUGGGAACAAAAUGGAUUUACCUGUGGAAAUACAAGAUGUCGAAAAUACAUGAAGUUUACCGGGAUUUCAAUCGUCAGUAUGGUCCUAUUGUGUUGGAGGUAACUUCAAAUGGUAUUCCAAUUGUCAACCUAUACAAUCGCCAAGACAUUGAGAAAGUGUUACGCUUUCCAAGUAAAUAUCCGUUUCGCCCCCCAACUGAAAUUGUAGCAUUUUAUCGUAAAAUGAGGCCUGAUCGAUAUGCAUCAACUGGAAUCACUAACGAGCAAGGUGAAACAUGGCAUAAUUUACGUACAAAACUCACCUCACAAAUCACAAGCCCCAGAGUUCUACAAUCCUUUUUACCAACAUUGAAUUAUAUUUGUGAUGAUUUUAUCGAUCUGUUACGAGCAAAACGAGACUCAACUACGAAUGUUGUGGAAAACUUUCAAAACGUUGCCAAUUUGUUUGGACUUGAAGCGGUUUGUACGUUGAUGCUGGGGAAAAGAAUGGGGUUUUUAUCACAACGCCCACAAGAAAACGUUGCAAAAUUGGCCGCCGCUGUUAAAACAUUGUUUAUAACUCAAAGAGACUCGUCUUAUGGAUUUAGUAUGUGGAAGUAUGUUUCUACAAAAACUUAUCGGGACUUCGUUGAAACUGAAGACACUAUUUACAAUAUCAUAUCUGAAAUUGUAGAUACAGCUUUAAAUGAAAAUCAACUGGAGUUUGCUGACGAAGACAGUAUGAAUAGUGUAUUUUUCAGUAUUUUAAGUGAAAAAGAUCUUGAUAUCAGAGAUAAAAAAUCAGCGAUAAUAGACUUUAUUGCUGCAGGGAUAGAGACACUUGCAAAUACUCUUAUCUUUAUUUUGCACCACGUAACCCGUGAAAGAGGCACUUUGGAGAAAAUCAAAGAAGAGUUCGAACAUUGUUCAAAUGAAAUCGAUUCAAAUGAUUUGGCGCAAGCUGUGUUCACAAAAGCAUGUCUGCAGGAAACAUAUAGAAUUUGUCCGACUGCAUUUUGUUUAGCGCGUAUAUUACAAGAGGAUGCAUGUUUGUCAGGAUACAAUAUUAAAGCGGGAACUGUGAUCUUGUGUCAAAAUAUGGUUGCAUGUCAAAAUCCUGCCAAUUUCAAAUCUCCAGAUGACUUUAGGCCAGAGAGAUGGCUAGUUGACGAUUCAAAAAUGAAUGCCAGAUGCUCUGAGCCCGGAACCAAUUUGGUUGUGCCUUUUGGAGUUGGAAAACGGCAAUGUCCAGGUCGGCGAUUCGUUGAAAUGGAGUUGAUAAUAAUUAUAGCAAAGAUGGCACGUGCGUUCAAUAUAAAUUUUUGUGAUAAACUCGAGAUGGAAUUUGAGUUCCUACUCACGCCAAAAACUCCUAUCAAUUUGAUAAUAAACGAAAGACUGUCGUAACUUUUAAGUGAGGAAAUCUGUAUGUUUUAAGCAUAUUUCUAGAAUUCAAGAAUGUUGUUUACUAUUUAAACAAAAUCGUUGAAAAUUCAUUCCAUAAUUGGGAUAUUAUUAAUGUUUUUUCGGUUUCUAUUUUUGAAAUGGAUAGUUGCAGAAAGCUCUAACGAUUCCACGAAAAUUCAACACAUAUUCGUACCAAUUUGUCUCCCUUUGUAGCUAAAAAUUUCGCCAAACUUACUUUCUUUUACGUCACACUAACAGAAAUGGCUAGCGUAAAUUGUUGGUUUGGAUAUUUUGAUAAUUAUUAUGUUCACGUUCAGCAUCACACAGCAUUUCCUCACCGAACUAAAAUUGGUUUUGAACACCAUAUGUCUUUACAGUCUUGAGAUUCCAUAAUGCAAUUUUAUUUUUAAUUCAUUUUCAUUAUGAAGAGGGAGAUGAAGCCGGAAAAACCCUAAAUUUAAAAAAAAAUGGCCUGUGUCAUAUCCAAAUAACCUUUCGAAUAUUACAUUUAUUGCAUUUUCUUAAACUCGCGUUCGCAGUUGGAGUAAAUUUAACACUAUUUUGAAAGGAUCCGUGGAAGGAAAAGGAAUUUCUUUUGAUUUUAUUACAGGUUUCAUUGCAUUUGAAGGGAGCUGGACGCAAAUUGAACGAAAUAAAGAAAUAGUGUCGCUUGAAUUUAAACCUCUAAGAAGUGAAACCCCUCCAGCUAUGUUCCUCCAGCCAUGCUCGAGUUAUGUGGUCUCAAAGUCGGAAAAUUUCGAGUUCCACCCACCUAAGGGCUGUGUUGCGCAGUAGAGGGAUAAUUAAAAUAAAUACUUUUGGAGAAUGUAUAUGACUAGGUAUCCAAACAGGAAGGUAUUUCCAUCGUUUGAAAGGUAUUUUCGAGACGCAUACAUAGCCGUUUAAAUCUUCGAAAUUCUCAGGCUACUAUCUAAGAUGUUAGCAUACGCGUUUUCAAAAGUUCUUCAAAUUUUCCAGCUAAUCAGUAAACGUAUGGGUGUUUCAGAAAUUUUUUCUCAAAAUUCCACCUGAAUUCGAUAGUUGGGCACAAAUGAUGACGAUUGGUGCAAAUAUAACUUCCCCCAGUUCACAGGGCGAUUGCCCAGGAGCCCCCAAAGUACGAAUAAUCGGCGAUUUUCGAAAAUCUAACUUCUAAAAGCCUGGGAAUUUUGCUAUACUCUCUUCUGCAAAGUUGUAGAUCUUGACGAGAUAAGAAACAUUGCUAAACAUGUCACCCCCAAAAAACCUUUGAGUUUUAGGGUGACUUAGAAUUUACCUAUUUUCAAGGGUGGUUUUUAAAGUGAAGGGGUGGUUUUUUGGGGGUGACGUGUUAAGUAAUGUUUCUUAUCUCGUCAAGAUCUACAACUUUGCAUAAGAGAGUAUAGCAAAAUUCCCAGGCGUUUAGAAGUUAGAUUUUCGAAAAUCGCCGAUUUUUCGUACUUUGGGGGCUCCUGGGGAACCGCCCUGUGAACUGGAAGAAGUUAUAUUUGCACCAAUCGUCAUCAUUUGAGCCCAACUAUCGAAUCCAGGUGAAAAUUUCUGAAACACUCAUACGUUUACUGGUAAGGAAAUGUGUUAUGAAUUUGUUUAUUAUACAUUUUUCGUUUUUCUCGGCUAAAAUCUAGCAUAGAUAGACUAUUCUCAACUCUGAAAUAAAUGACGCAGUGGAGGAUUAUUUUUUCUUUGUUUCAACAUACUUUUACUCAGGAUAGAUCAUUUCAUAGUAAUAAUAAUAACUGUGGAAAUAAUUUUUGUUUUUUUUUAUUUGAUUUGAAUAAA
Sitodiplosis mosellana (orange wheat blossom midge) is the source of this 4905-nucleotide RNA transcript. It is a transcript of the gene named ecdysone 20-monooxygenase, with no coding region annotated. The transcript is spliced from 9 exons. The record is from RefSeq and is a predicted model, not a curated record. NCBI's taxonomy places the organism in Eukaryota, Metazoa, Arthropoda, Insecta, Diptera, Cecidomyiidae.